CGAGGAAUAGUUCCUCAGGCACAAGGAAAGCACUAUGGAGGCAAUCGACCACGAUGCCGAGCAUGAGAGCGGAGACGAAGGUGGAGCUGACGCUAGUGAUGAACACGACGAAGACGAGUAUUUUGCUGGAGAGAAAGAAAGUGUUUUGCAAGUAAGUUCAUGUUUUGCAAAAGGUGCAAUGGUGCUUAUCAUUGUUCGGUCUGCAACCUCCUCAUAAGGUAGA
Molecule: long non-coding RNA, 223 nt
Organism: Vigna unguiculata (cowpea)
Lineage: Eukaryota; Viridiplantae; Streptophyta; Magnoliopsida; Fabales; Fabaceae
Source: RefSeq, a predicted model, not a curated record